GAGUUUGAUCGUGGCUCAGGAUGGACGCUGGCGGCGUGCCUAAUACAUGCAAGUCGAGCGAACGGACGAGAAGCUUGCUUCUCUGAUGUUAGCGGCGGACGGGUGAGUAACACGUGGAUAACCUACCUAUAAGACUGGGAUAACUUCGGGAAACCGGAGCUAAUACCGGAUAAUAUUUUGAACCGCAUGGUUCAAAAGUGAAAGACGGUCUUGCUGUCACUUAUAGAUGGAUCCGCGCUGCAUUAGCUAGUUGGUAAGGUAACGGCUUACCAAGGCAACGAUGCAUAGCCGACCUGAGAGGGUGAUCGGCCACACUGGAACUGAGACACGGUCCAGACUCCUACGGGAGGCAGCAGUAGGGAAUCUUCCGCAAUGGGCGAAAGCCUGACGGAGCAACGCCGCGUGAGUGAUGAAGGUCUUCGGAUCGUAAAACUCUGUUAUUAGGAAGACAUAUGUGUAAGUAACUGUGCACAUCUUGACGGUACCUAAUCAGAAGGCCACGGCUAACUACGUCG
Molecule: ribosomal RNA, 515 nt
Filed under: uncultured microorganism
Description: bacterial SSU rRNA
Rfam family: Bacterial small subunit ribosomal RNA
Source: RNAcentral